CUUAUUUCUCAGGGCAGGGUGCAAUUCCCUACUGGCGGUAAUCUUCUAGGAAGAGAGUCCGCGAGCGCUUUUGUCUUUACAUGUAAAGGUAAAAGGUCAGCAGAUUUGGUGUAACUCCAAAACCAACGGUUAAAGUCCGGAUGAGAGAGAAUGUAG
RNAcentral lists this non-coding RNA (156 nucleotides) under Sulfurospirillum deleyianum. RNAcentral describes it as "FMN sequence". It matches the Rfam family "FMN riboswitch aptamer (RFN element)". Rfam says of the family: The RFN element is a highly conserved domain that is found frequently in the 5'-untranslated regions of prokaryotic mRNAs that encode for flavin mononucleotide (FMN) biosynthesis and transport proteins. This element is a metabolite-dependent riboswitch that directly binds FMN in the absence of proteins. In Bacillus subtilis, the riboswitch most likely controls gene expression by causing premature transcription termination within the 5' untranslated region of the ribDEAHT operon and precluding access to the ribosome-binding site of ypaA mRNA. Lineage: Bacteria; Pseudomonadati; Campylobacterota; Epsilonproteobacteria; Campylobacterales; Sulfurospirillaceae. The record is from RNAcentral. RNAcentral also lists the same sequence under 1 other name.